Molecule: long non-coding RNA, 352 nt
Organism: Neopelma chrysocephalum (saffron-crested tyrant-manakin)
Lineage: Eukaryota; Metazoa; Chordata; Aves; Passeriformes; Pipridae
Exons: 3
Source: RefSeq, a predicted model, not a curated record
UCAGGCCCUGCAAGGCCACAAUCAGGUCACCCCAAAGCUUCUCUUCUCCAGGCUGAAUGAUCCCAGCUCUCCCAGCCUUUAGAACCAUAAUUAGCUUGUGCACUCCCCAGUCACCCUCAGAGCUGUGGGAUGAGCACAAACCCCAGGACAAAGCCCUGAGCUCGGCACUGCAGCCCCAGUGGAAGCGCAACACUAUUUCUGCUGCAAGAACUGUGGAGUUAAAGAAGUGAAGAGACCAAACCAACAUUAAGCAAAAUGGAAAAUUACCACAAUUUUGCUUGGUAAAUAGCUCAUAAACUUUUGUUUGUUUCCACUGAUCACCAUGUUUUAGGCACUCAAAUUUGGUGGGGAG